Cinara cedri is the source of this 215-nucleotide non-coding RNA. The record is from the annotation of a GenBank genome assembly. Lineage: Eukaryota; Metazoa; Arthropoda; Insecta; Hemiptera; Aphididae.
GACGUAAUGUAUGUUAUUGUUUUUACGAUUUACAAUACAAUACGAUUUUACUAUGACACCAUCGCAGUUGGAGUAUCAUUUGUGUGGCGAUACGGCACGGUUAAUAAUGCACCACUACUCUCAUCCGAUCAAAACUUAAUAGUGGAAUAUCUGGUCAACGGUUCGACAGAAAUCGAAAAUCUCAACACUAAUAUUUAUUUUAACUAAUACUCCAU